Molecule: unclassified non-coding RNA, 226 nt
Filed under: Moritella viscosa
Lineage: Bacteria; Pseudomonadati; Pseudomonadota; Gammaproteobacteria; Alteromonadales; Moritellaceae
Description: putative sRNA
Source: RNAcentral
GCUAUUUUAGCCCUAGAUCUAAAAAGAAUCCGACUAAGAGGCCAAUUUCAAUGAACCUCUACAAUUAAACUCCGAAUGAGAAAUGCUAGCAAGUGGCGCAUGUUUCGCUAGUCGGUGGGGCUCAAACUUUAUGGGAUUUUUAUAUCUAUUUCCUCCUCAUUCUUUGUUGAAAUCAAAUUGUUUAUUUUUUAUACGUUUAUCGAACGAUAAGUACCACUUUAGAUUC